Molecule: ribosomal RNA, 446 nt
Filed under: uncultured bacterium
Lineage: Bacteria
Description: partial 16S ribosomal RNA
Rfam family: Bacterial small subunit ribosomal RNA
Source: RNAcentral
CCUACGGGUGACAGCAGUCGAGAAUCAUUCACAAUGGGGGAAACCCUGAUGGUGCGACGCCGCGUGGGGGAAUGAAGGUCUUCGGAUUGUAAACCCCUGUCAUGUGGGAGCAAAUUAAAAAGAUAGUACCACAAGAGGAAGAGACGGCUAACUCUGUGCCAGCAGCCGCGGUAAUACAGAGGUCUCAAGCGUUGUUCGGAAUCACUGGGCGUAAAGCGUGCGUAGGCUGUUUCGUAAGUCGUGUGUGAAAGGCGCGGGCUCAACCCGCGGACGGCACAUGAUACUGCGAGACUAGAGUAAUGGAGGGGGAACCGGAAUUCUCGGUGUAGCAGUGAAAUGCGUAGAUAUCGAGAGGAGCACUCGUGGCGAAGGCGGGUUCCUGGACAUUAACUGACGCUGAGGCACGAAGGCCAGGGGAGCGAGAGGGAUUAGAUACCCUUGUAGUC